This 93-nucleotide transfer RNA is filed under the name Thelonectria olida. It matches the Rfam family "tRNA". Rfam says of the family: Transfer RNA (tRNA) molecules are approximately 80 nucleotides in length. Their secondary structure includes four short double-helical elements and three loops (D, anti-codon, and T loops). The record is from Rfam by way of RNAcentral. Lineage: Eukaryota; Fungi; Ascomycota; Sordariomycetes; Hypocreales; Nectriaceae.
GACACUUUGGCCGAGUGGUUAAGGCGAUGCCCUGCUAUUAAGCAUAUCAAGGCAUUGUGUUCGCACGCGCAGGUUCGAAUCCUGCAGGUGUCG